AGCUUUGCCCAGUGGCAGUAUCGUAGCCAAUGAGGUUUAUCUGAGAUGCAAUUAUUGCUAAUUGAAAAAUUAUGGUUUAAAAGUAAUGCCUUUGUAUGUCAAGUUGACAAAUGGUCAAUUGUCC
This 124-nucleotide small nuclear RNA is filed under the name Neotoma lepida (desert woodrat). Its description in RNAcentral is "U4 spliceosomal RNA". It matches the Rfam family "U4 spliceosomal RNA". Rfam says of the family: U4 small nuclear RNA (U4 snRNA) is a component of the major U2-dependent spliceosome. The structure of U4 snRNA from yeast and human has been reported. U4 snRNA presents a k-turn RNA motif in the 5p-SL related to recognition of Snu13 protein. The record is from Rfam by way of RNAcentral. Lineage: Eukaryota; Metazoa; Chordata; Mammalia; Rodentia; Cricetidae.